GUGGAAUUCAAAAGAGCAAGUCAGACUACAAACAGUAGCAUUAACCCAAAGGAAUGCCAGUGCAAAUACUCUUGGUACCAAGAGGCACUUAUGCUGUACAGUUACCUCAGGUGUGCUUGUUAGAAAAUACCUGAACUUCCUGCGCAGCAGCCCUGAGCACACUGGGACUUCAGGU
Molecule: long non-coding RNA, 175 nt
Organism: Tachysurus vachellii
Lineage: Eukaryota; Metazoa; Chordata; Actinopteri; Siluriformes; Bagridae
Exons: 3
Source: RefSeq, a predicted model, not a curated record